UGGAGCAUGGUUAAUGAUUCGCAAUGUUCGCUUCCUCGGUCUACUACUACUAAACGCAUCCCAUGUGCGCGGUAGACCGGUGGGCGACACUCAGCGUUGAGUCAUCCUCCAGUUACACUAAGAACCCGCGCCUUGGCGCGGGUUUUUUU
Molecule: small RNA, 149 nt
Filed under: Phytobacter diazotrophicus
Lineage: Bacteria; Pseudomonadati; Pseudomonadota; Gammaproteobacteria; Enterobacterales; Enterobacteriaceae
Description: Leucine operon leader
Rfam family: Leucine operon leader
About the family: At least 6 amino acid operons are known to be regulated by attenuation. In each a leader sequence of 150-200 bp is found upstream of the first gene in the operon.
Source: RNAcentral